This 829-nucleotide ribosomal RNA is filed under the name Cucujoidea sp. 6 KM-2017. Its description in RNAcentral is "partial 16S ribosomal RNA". The stretch from base 588 to 746 matches the Rfam family "Archaeal large subunit ribosomal RNA", at positions 2542 to 2701 of the family's 2987-position model. Lineage: Eukaryota; Metazoa; Arthropoda; Insecta; Coleoptera. The record is from RNAcentral.
AAUUUAAUGAUUUAUAGUAUGUUAUUAUAAAUCAUUAAAUUUUGUUAUUUUUAUAAUUUUAAAUUUUUUAUUAAAAAAAAUUUUUUAAUCAAAUAAAAAUUGAUAUAAUGAUAAAAUUAGUAUAAUUUUUUGUAAAAUUACAUUUUUUAUGUAGAUUUAAUUAAGGAAUUCGGCAAAUUACUUUUUACCUGUUUAUUAAAAACAUGUCUUUUUGAUUAUAAUUUAAAGUCUGGCCUGCUCAAUGAAUAUUUAAAUAGCUGCGGUAUUUUGACCGUACAAAGGUAGCAUAAUCAAUAGUUUUUUAAUUGAAAACUGGAAUGAAGGGUUGCAUAAAAAAGUAACUGUCUCAAUUAAAUUUUAUUAGAAUUUUAUUUUUAAGUUCAAAAUCUUAAAUGUUUUUAAAAGACGAGAAGACCCUAUAGAGUUUAAUUUUUAUUUUUAAUUAAGUAUUAAGAAUUAAUAAUUUUUUUAAAAAUAAAAAUUUGAUUGGGGUGAUUGAUAAAUUUAAUAAACUUUAUUUUUUAAUUUUCAAUAAUUAUUGUUUUUUUGAUCCAAUUUAUUUGAUUAUAAGACUAAAUUACCUUAGGGAUAACAGCGUAAUUUAUUUUAAGAGUUCUAAUCAAAAAAUAAGAUUGCGACCUCGAUGUUGGAUUAAAAUUAAUAUUUGGUGAAGAAGCUAGAAUAUUAGGUCUGUUCGACCUUUAAAAUUUUACAUGAUCUGAGUUUAAACCGGUGUAAGCCAGGUUGGUUUCUAUCUUUAAAUAAAAUAAAAUUUUUUAGUACGAAAGGACCGAAAAUUUAAUUAAAAAUUUAUAUUUGAUGAUUGAUA